UGUGCAUGCCGAUGGGGCCGCAGGUGCUCCUCAUCAGAGCCACCAAACUCUUGGUCACGUCCUGCAGGCGCCGCGGGUAGACCAGCAGCCAGCAGUUCAUGUCGACCUGGGGGGGCGGAGGGAGGCGUGGGGCAGGGAAAGCAUCCCGAGGGGGGAACACGCGACGCUCAGCUCCCGCGGCCCCGGGGGGAGGGGGGGACGCAGCCACCUCGUCCACACAUCCCUUCAGAAAAGCGGGCCGUGAGGCAAAGCCAAAGUAAAUCCAGGGCAGACCGCAGCCAGGACACGGCUCCGUGUGCAGACAGACGCGCAGCAGGAGGCAGAGCUGACGGAACCCAUCCCAGCCCCGACAAAGCCGCGUUGUUCCGGGGCAGCAGAGCCCGGCCGCGCGCUCACCGUGGAGAUGGCAGCUUCCCGCACCACCUCCUUGGUCCAGUUCACGUCCUCGGCGGGGAUGAAGGAGCAGCGCCGCAGGUUGACCCGCUCCGAGGGCAGGAUGCGGCCCUGGGUCUGCGAGGAACGCGACCUGAGGCAGCUCCUGCGCUGCCCCCCUGCAUCCCAGGGCAUCCCCCCGUCUUACCGUGUGGAUGUCGGGGCUCAGGACGAGCCCCCAGCGCGUCAGCUCCUGCAACGCCUCCUGGUUGCAUUGAAUGCGGCGCAGCAAACUGCACAGAGACUCGUAGUGCUGCUGGGGGCUCUGCAGCAUCUCCUGCAUCACGUCCUGGGGGCAGAGCCAGCCGUGUGGGGCAGCCCCGCAGCGCCAGCCCUGCCCCGGGGGGGUGGGAGAUGCUGACCUUCAGCAUGCGGGCGUCCUUCUUGACCUCCGAGAUGCCGGUCAGGAAGGUGAGCUCCGGCAGCAGCAGCACCAUGUCCAGCUGGGGCUGUGGGAGAGCCCGGCUCGUGCUGCACGCAGAGCUGCAAAGCACACCCCCCCCCCCCCCCCCCCCCCGGCUCACCUUGCCCCCCAGCAUCAGCUUCUCCUUGGGUCUGUGGAUGAGCAGCGGCUGCUCCAACUCCCGCACGGUGAUCCCAUACGUUUUGCUGACAGAAAACCCACGCCGUGAGCCGGGCUUCUCACAAGCAGCCCCUCCGAACCCCCGCCAGCCCCCCUCGUCCCCACCUGUAGUAAUCCACGAAGCUGAUCUCCUCCCCGCUGCCCAAGGUGAAGCUGUCCCUGGGGGUCUUCUCCCACUCGAUGUCAUCGAUGCGGUAUGUGCGGUUGUUGUAGCGGGUCAGCACCGUGCUGCCCACCAGCUGCUUGGUGCACUCGUCGUGGAAGCUGCUGGGGCUCUGCUUGCAGAUGGACUGCCUGCGAGGAAGGGAGAGGGGACAGCCCUGAAUCCCACGGCCCCCAAAGCACGGGGAACCCCCCGCCCCGAGGCUCCUGCCCAUUCCUCCCCUCUCACAUUAAAGCCAGCACGGAUUCAUUCCGGAUGA
Molecule: long non-coding RNA, 1437 nt
Filed under: Phasianus colchicus (ring-necked pheasant)
Lineage: Eukaryota; Metazoa; Chordata; Aves; Galliformes; Phasianidae
Description: lncRNA (ENSPCLG00000019335.1)
Source: RNAcentral